Molecule: ribosomal RNA, 1359 nt
Filed under: metagenome
Description: bacterial LSU rRNA
Rfam family: Bacterial large subunit ribosomal RNA
Source: RNAcentral
GCCUUGAGUCUGCGGGCAAGAAAAGCUGAAUGUGGAGCUGCCAGUCGUCCGUACCGUAAACCGACACAGGUGGGUGAGGCGAGUAGCCUCAGGUGAACGAGUGAAACGUGGUCAAGGAACUCGGCAUAAUGAUCCCGUAACUCCGGAAGAAGGGAUGCCCUGUUUGGUAACCGGACUUGCUCCGGGAGCAGAAUGAGGCCGCAGAGAAUCGGCCCAAGCGACUGUUUAGCAAAAACACAGGUGCGUGCCAAGCCGCAUAAGGCGCCGUAUACGCACUGACGCCUGCCCGGUGCCGGAAGGUUAAGGGGAGAGGUUAGCCGCAAGGCGAAGCUUUGAGCCGAAGCCCCGGUAAACGGCGGCCGUAACAAUAACGGUCCUAAGGUAGCGAAAUUCCUUGUCGGGUAAGUUCCGACCUGCACGAAUGGCGUAACGACUUGGGCACUGUCUCGACCACGUGCUCGGCGAAAUUGCAGUCUCGGUGAGGAUUCCGAGUCCCCGCAGCAGGACAAAAAGACCCCAUGCACCUUUACUGCAGCUUGUCAUUGGACAUUGCACUUCACUGUGUAGCAUAGGUGGGAGCCGGUGAACCCUGGGCGCUAGCCUGGGGGGAGGCAUCGUGAAAUACCACCCUGUGUAGUGCGAUGCCCUCACCACGGAAGGCAAACCCUUUCUGGGACCGUGGCAGGCGGGCAGUUUGACUGGGGCGGUCGCCUCCGAAAGAGUAACGGAGGCGCGCGCAAGGUUGGCUCAGCGCGGUCGGUACUCGCGCUUCUAGAGUGUAACGGCAAAAGCCAGCCUGACGGAGAGACCGACGGGUCGACCCGCCACGAAAGUGGGCCGUAGCGAUCCGGUAGCCCGGGGUGGAGCGGCUAUCGCGCAACGGAUAAAAGGUACGCUGGGGAUAACAGGCUUAUCGCGCCCGAGAGUUCACAUCGACGGCGCGGUUUGGCACCUCGAUGUCGGCUUAUCACAUCCUGGGGCUGGAGAAGGUCCCAAGGGUCCGGCUGUUCGCCGGUUAAAGUGGUACAUGAGCUGGGUUCAGAACGUCGUGAGACAGUUCGGUCUGUAUCCGCUGUGGGCGUUGGAGUGUUGAGGGGAGCGGACUCUAGUACGAGAGGACCGAGUCGGACGAUCCGCUCGUGUCCCGGCUGUCCUGCCAAGGGCACCGCCGGGUAGCGAUGAUCGGCUGUGAUAACCGCUGAAUGCAUCUAAGUGGGAAGCACGCCCCAAGAUGAACACUCCCGAGGCUUCGAGCCUCCUGAAGGGCCGGGGAAGACCACCCCGUCGAUAGGCCGCCCGUGGACGUCGAGCGAUCGACUCCGAGCGCAGCGGUCCUAAUCGCCCGUGCGGCUUGACUAC